UUUCCUAGGGAGGCAGCAGUGAGGAAUAUUGGUCAAUGGGCGGGAGCCUGAACCAGCCAAGUCGCGUGAGGGAAGAAGGUACUGAGUAUUGUAAACCUCUUUUGCCAGGGGACAAAGGCGGCCACGGGUGGCCGUAAGAGGGUACCUGGAGAAAAAGCAUCGGCUAACUCCGUGCCAGCAGCCGCGGUAAUACGGAGGAUGCGAGCGUUAUCCGGAUUUAUUGGGUUUAAAGGGUGCGUAGGCGGAAUGCCAAGUCAGCGGUAAAAUCGCGGGGCUCAACCUCGCUCCGCCGUUGAAACUGGCGU
RNAcentral lists this ribosomal RNA (305 nucleotides) under uncultured bacterium. Its description in RNAcentral is "bacterial SSU rRNA". It matches the Rfam family "Bacterial small subunit ribosomal RNA", at positions 335 to 639 of the family's 1533-position model. The record is from RNAcentral.